This 315-nucleotide ribosomal RNA is filed under the name uncultured bacterium. Its description in RNAcentral is "bacterial SSU rRNA". It matches the Rfam family "Bacterial small subunit ribosomal RNA", at positions 8 to 354 of the family's 1533-position model. The record is from RNAcentral.
AGAGUUUGAUCAUGGCUCAGAACGAACGCUGGCGGCAGGCCUAACACAUGCAAGUCGAACGCCCCGCAAGGGGAGUGGCAGACGGGUGAGUAACGCGUGGGAACCUUCCUAGUGGUACGGAACAACUCAGGGAAACUUGAGCUAAUACCGUAUACGCCCCUCGGGGGAAAGAUUAUCGCCAUUAGAUGGGCCCGCGUAGGAUUAGCUAGUUGGUGAGGUAACGGCUCACCAAGGCGACGAUCCUUAGCUGGUCUUAGAGGAUGAUCAGCCACACUGGGACUGAGACACGGCCCAGACUCCUACGGGACGCAGCAG